GGAAUCUACCCAGCUCUACGGAAUAACCCAGGGAAACUUGGACUAAUACCGUAUACGUCCUUCGGGAGAAAGAUUUAUCGGAGUUGGAUGAGCCCGCGUUGGAUUAGCUAGUUGGUGGGGUAAAGGCCUACCAAGGCGACGAUCCAUAGCUGGUCUGAGAGGAUGAUCAGCCACACUGGGACUGAGACACGGCCCAGACUCCUACGGGAGGCAGCAGUGGGGAAUAUUGGACAAUGGGCGCAAGCCUGAUCCAGCCAUGCCGCGUGAGUGAUGAAGGCCCUAGGGUUGUAAAGCUCUUUCAACGGUGAAGAUAAUGACGGUAACCGUAGAAGAAGCCCCGGCUAACUUCGUGCCAGCAGCCGCGGUAAUACGAAGGGGGCUAGCGUUGUUCGGAAUUACUGGGCGUAAAGCGCACGUAGGCGGAUCGAUCAGUUAGGGGUGAAAUCCCAGGGCUCAACCCUGGAACUGCCUCUAAUACUGUCGAUCUGGAGUUCGAGAGAGGUGAGUGGAAUUCCGAGUGUAGAGGUGAAAUUCGUAGAUAUUCGGAGGAACACCAGUGGCGAAGGCGGCUCACUGGCUCGAUACUGACGCUGAGGUGCGA
This 601-nucleotide ribosomal RNA is filed under the name Thiobacillus sp. PRB16. RNAcentral describes it as "bacterial SSU rRNA". It matches the Rfam family "Bacterial small subunit ribosomal RNA", at positions 121 to 756 of the family's 1533-position model. RNAcentral also lists the same sequence under 1 other name. The record is from RNAcentral. Lineage: Bacteria; Pseudomonadati; Pseudomonadota; Betaproteobacteria; Nitrosomonadales; Thiobacillaceae.